Molecule: ribosomal RNA, 735 nt
Filed under: Triticum aestivum (bread wheat)
Lineage: Eukaryota; Viridiplantae; Streptophyta; Magnoliopsida; Poales; Poaceae
Description: partial small subunit ribosomal RNA
Source: RNAcentral
AUGUCGUCCGAGGCGGCGAAGGUGGUGGUGCCGGAGUCGGUGCUCCUCAAGAGGAAGCGGGAGGAGCUCUGGGCCGCCGAGAAGAAGACCAAGGCCGUCGAGGAGAAGAAGAAAUCCAGCGAGAACGUCAAGGUCAUCUACGCCCGCGCCAAGCAGUACGCCGAGGAGUACGAUGCCCAGGACAAGGAGUUGGUUCAGCUUAAGCGUGAGGCCCGGAUGAAGGGUGGGUUCUAUGUCAGUCCUGAGGCUAAGCUGCUGUUUGUUGUCAGAAUCAGAGGUAUCAAUGCCAUGCACCCAAAGACCAAGAAGAUCUUGCAGCUGUUGCGUUUGAGACAGAUAUUCAAUGGAGUGUUCCUGAAGGUUAACAAGGCCACCAUCAACAUGCUCCGCAGGGUCGAGCCAUAUGUUGCAUAUGGGUACCCGAACCUGAAGAGUGUGAGGGAGUUGAUCUACAAAAGAGGUUAUGGCAAGCUCAACAAGCAAAGGAUUCCUUUGACCAACAACAAGGUCAUCGAGGAGGGUCUUGGAAAGCACAACAUCAUCUGCAUUGAGGACCUUGUGCAUGAGAUCUUGACCGUCGGUCCUCACUUCAAGGAGGCCAACAACUUCCUGUGGCCCUUCAAGCUGAAGGCGCCGCUGGGAGGCCUCAAGAAGAAGAGGAACCACUACGUCGAGGGUGGCGACGCCGGCAACCGCGAGAACUACAUCAACCAGCUCGUCAGGAGGAUGAACUAG